AUGGCCGCUCCACCGUCAUAUGCCCGCAUUCCCAACAUCAUCGUCCUCCUACUCCUAGCACUCUCUGCCAUCUCUGUUUCCUCCUGUUCGAGUCCAUCCAACGGCAGCGACACGGACCUCUCUGCGCUGCUGGCUUUCAAAGCCCAGCUCGCCGACCCUCGUCGUGUCCUUGCCGGCAGCUGGACCGGCACGUCCUUCUGCCACUGGAUAGGUGUCUCGUGCAGCCGCCGGCGGCAGCGCGUCACGGCUCUAACAUUGGUAGACACGCCUCUUUCUGGACCUAUUGCUCCCCACUUUGGUAAUCUCUCUUUCCUCUCUGUUCUUACUCUCAGGGGCACCAACCUUACGGGUUCCAUCCCUCCGGAGCUUGGCAAGCUAUGUCGGCUUCGAUAUCUUAGCCUUGAUGAAAAUAGCCUGUCAGAUGUCAUUCCUGCUGCCAUAGGGAACCUCACAAGGCUCGAGUUCCUUAGUCUAAGUUUUAACCAACUCACGGGCCAAAUCCCAUCUGAGGUGUUUGUUCGUAUGCAGAAACUUGAGACAAUUUCUCUGGAAGUUAAUAAGUUGAGUGGGCAGAUACCACCUUAUUUAUUCAAUAACACGCCUUCCCUGAGCUUCAUAUACUUUGGAAAAAACAGCAUGUCAGGUCCGAUACCACAUGGCAUAGCCUCCCUAUCCAAACUUACAUACUUGCAGCUGCAGCACAACCAGUUCUCCGGCCUAGUGCCACAAGCCAUAUAUAACAUGUCCAUGCUAGACCUCAUGAUAUUAUCGAACAACAACCUUACUGGUACGAUUCCAGACAACCAAAGUUUUAUCCUCCCAAUGUUGCAAGUGCUUGACCUCUCCGAAAAUAAAUUUCAGGGACGAAUUUCAUCAGGGCUUGCAUCGUCUCAUUACUUAGUAGGAUUGUCUUUGGCAGACAAUUCUUUUGUGGAUGUUGUGCCAUUGUGGUUAGUUGAACUACAUCACCUAGAAAGUAUUUCACUGGGUGGAAAUAACCUUGUUGGCUUGAUCCCAGCCGCUCUUAGCAAUCUCACUAGCCUUACUAUGCUAGACCUCUCUGGCUGCAACCUUACAGGACACAUCCCACCAGAGUUGGGAUUAAUGCAAAAACUCUCCUUUCUGCAUCUUGGAACAAAUCAACUUACCGGAACAAUUCAAUCUUCUCUUGGGAAUUUGUCCAUGUUGUCUCUCCUAGCUUUUGAAGAAAAUAAAUUAUCAGGCUCAGUACCUUCAACACUUGGGAACAUUGCAAGUUUAGAGGAGCUUCACCUGCAAAACAACAAUUUAGAUGGAAGUAUUAUGGAGCUUUUUUCAGCUCUUUGUAACUGUAGAAACGUCCAACUGAUUAACAUAGGAGUGAACUCUUUCACGGGUGCCCUCUCUGACCAACUGGGAAACCUCUCUUCACGAUUGGUAACUUUAACUCCAGCUUACAACAAAUUAGUAGGUGGACUUCCGGCAACAAUUUCAAACAUAAGCGGUCUUGAGUGGUUAGAUCUUUCUAACAACCUACUCACUGAGCCAAUCCCGGAAUCCAUCACUACACUGAAAAAUCUCGUGUGGCUUGACCUCUCUAGUAAUGACAUGUUCGGCACUAUCCCAACAGAAAUAGGCAUGCUUUGGAAUCUACAACGGUUGUUUCUCCAAAGAAAUAAUUUUUCUGGCUCUAUACCAAGAAGCUUGGGUAAUCUUAGUAAGUUAGAGAAAACGGACCUGUCCAAGAAUCAGUUAAGUUCUAUAAUACCGGCAAGACUAUUCGGCCUUGGUAAACUUAUUGAACUAAAUCUUUCAUAUAACUUUCUUGUUGGUGCACUGCCGGCAGAUGUUUCCGGGUUAAUACAAAUAUACCAAAUGGACCUUUCUUCUAACUCCUUUCUAGCAAGCAUCCCAGAAUCAAUGGGGCAACUUAAGAUGCUAAUGUACCUAAAUCUAUCGCACAACUUGUUCGGAGGCCCGAUGCCAGACUCACUUCAAAAGUUAACUAGCUUAGCAUCCUUAGACCUCUCCUUCAACAACCUCUCUGGUUCCAUUCCAAUAUACCUUGCAAGCUUAACCGACUUGACUACCAUGAACCUCUCAUUCAAUAGGUUGGCAGGCCAAAUACCAGAGGGAGGUGUUUUCUCAAACAUCACAUUGAAAUCUUUGAUUGGGAAUGUUGGGCUGUGCGGCGCUCCACGCCUAGGAUUUUUGCCAUGUCUUGACAGACCUCGUUCAAAUAAUAUACACUGGCUAAAAUUUCUACUCCCAGCUUCCAUGGUAGCUUCUGGCAGUAUUGCUAUUUGCUUAUGGUUGUGGAUCAGAAAGAAACAUAAGCAUGAGGGUGAGGUCAAAAUUGAUGGUGAUCCAUCCGAUGGCAUAGUCCACCAGAUAGUCUCUUAUCAUGAGCUCAUUCGGGCCACAGACAAUUUCAGUGAGGACAAUUUGUUGGGAAGUGGAAGCUUUGGGAAAGUCUUCAAGGGACAAGUGAGUGGUUUGGUGGUUGCGAUAAAAGUGCUUGACAUGCAGCUGGAGCAGGCCAAGAGAAGCUUUGAUACUGAGUGUCGUGUGCUCCGCAUGGCGCGACACCGCAACCUGAUACAGAUACUCAAUACAUGUUCCAACCUAGACUUCAGAGCACUUGUGCUUCCAUACAUGCCAAAUGGCAGUUUAGAGAUGCUGCUACACCGGUCUCAGAGUACACUGCCCUUGGGGUUUCUUGAAAGGAUCAACAUCAUGCUCGAUGUGUCGAUGGCAAUGGAGUACCUACACUUCGAGCACUAUGAGGUGAUACUGCACUGUGACUUGAAACCUAGCAAUGUGUUGUUCGAUAUGGACAUGACUGCUCAUGUGGCAGACUUCGGCAUUGCAAGGUUACUUCUAGGCAAUGACAACUCCAUGAUAUGUGCGAGUAUGCCUGGAACAGUUGGUUACAUGGCACCAGAGUAUGGCUCUUUUGGAAAGGCAUCACGAAAGAGUGACGUGUUCAGCUACGGGAUCAUGCUCCUUGAAGUAUUCACCAGGAAAAGACCCAUUGAUGCUAUGUUUGGGCAUGAACUAACUCUUAGGCAGUGGGUCCACACUGCAUUUCCUGCAGAGCUUGUGAGUGUCAUUGACAACCAGCUACUCCAAGGCUCCUCUUCUUCUAGUUGCAACCUUGUUGAAGGAUUUCUUGUGCCGAUAUUCGAGUUGGGUUUGCUCUGCUCUAGCGGCAUGCCUAACCAGAGAAUGACGAUAAGAGAUGUGGUGGUGAGGUUGAAGAAGAUCAAAGUAGAGUACACCAAACAAGCAGCAUCAGCAUCACGUAGUAGUGCAGCAUAG
This 3300-nucleotide ribosomal RNA is filed under the name Triticum aestivum (bread wheat). RNAcentral's name for it is "partial small subunit ribosomal RNA". The record is from RNAcentral. Lineage: Eukaryota; Viridiplantae; Streptophyta; Magnoliopsida; Poales; Poaceae.